UCCAGGCUCUGACAUACUUCUCCCUCUGUCAGGUAGGGGGCACAGAUUGGAAAUGGGAAAACUGCAAAACAGAGAAAGCAAGAGGAGAGAGUGAAAAAUUCAGGAGAUCCUUGGAGAAGCAAGCACCUCUAGGAGGAAGGCCUCUACUAUCUCCCCCUCUCCCAACAGAGGGGAAAUUGAGGCACAGACAAGGAAAAGGAUGGUGUCUCAAAGAGCAGCGAGGAGAAAAACAUGCGUGAGGUGGGCAGAUGGAGAGAGAUUGGCACUGGACUGGGAAGACGUAACAUCUUCUAGCCAGGAUGACAGGGAAUCUUCUGCACUGUUGAGCAGAUCUGAAGAGGGUGCGGUUAUCAGAUGACCAGGCACCAGAGUUGUACAUUCACAUAGGAUCGGCUGACCAACCACCAACCCAUUCAACCCAGCAGCUGCCUGAUGUCUGUUACUGGAAAUAUUAUAAUGGUGGCAUCAUGCUUGCCAAGCAACUGAAUCAACUUGUCACAUCCAUGGGCCUUGCCUUGUGCUAAGAUGCCAAACACCAGAGGAACCCAGUGUUUUGUUAAAAUAAUCUGAGACCCAGGACAGAACCAACAUUUGGUGCAUUUGUGGUAAUAGUCUUGUAAAAUCUGCAGGGCAGUUAUGCAGGAUCCCUGGCUCAGUGCUGAAAUACAUCUGCCCCUGGAGCAGGGUUCAAGGGGGUGUUUGUACAGGGACCCAUCACCCAGAGCUGAGAUGCAGCCACCUCUGGGGUGGGGCAAAGCAGCUGUUUCAUGCAGUUUUAAGAUGACUAGCUACAGCUAGGGAUCUAGUCGGAGUUUGCGUCUGAUCACCCCAUUUCUAAGGGGGUCGUGGUGGGUGGGGAAAGAGAGGGCCUGGGAAAUCUCUUGGGUAAAGAGAGUGAGAACAGACAGGACUACACAUUGCAGAGAGGAAACAAAGAGGAGGGCAUGCGAUAUAGGCUGCAGACCUGCAAACAACAGAACAGAGACCCCUCCUCCUGCUCCCUACCCCACCUUAGGAUCCUAAACCAUUACUCUGUGAAACUCUACCACAGGAAUCUGAGUAGAUUGACCCUUGUAAACUCCUUAGAGCAGGGACAGCCUUUUUGUCCUAUGUUUGGACAGCACCUGUCGCAGCAGGGACCAAGGCUGCAACUGAUGCUCUCACCCAUCCAGCACCUCCCUACCUUCAAAUCAACUGCUACCAUUGCUUUAAGCUUCACAUUUUCACCUAAUAGCCCUAAUUCAUCAUGUUUUAUCUGCUACCCUGGAAUAACUUUUAUUGUACAAGAAAGAACCUGCAACUCUGAGGUUUUAAACACACAGGGAUCUAACUUCAUGGAAGAGUU
Long non-coding RNA from Alligator sinensis (Chinese alligator), 1345 nucleotides. RefSeq lists it as uncharacterized. The transcript is spliced from 4 exons. NCBI's taxonomy places the organism in Eukaryota, Metazoa, Chordata, Crocodylia, Alligatoridae. The record is from RefSeq and is a predicted model, not a curated record.